UUGAGCCGUAUGCGGUGAAAGUCGCACGUACGGUUCUGAGGGGGGAAAGAAGCCGAACGUCUUUUCUGGU
RNAcentral lists this non-coding RNA (70 nucleotides) under Dactylococcopsis salina PCC 8305. Lineage: Bacteria; Bacillati; Cyanobacteriota; Cyanophyceae; Nodosilineales; Cymatolegaceae. The record is from RNAcentral.